This 257-nucleotide ribosomal RNA is filed under the name uncultured bacterium. RNAcentral describes it as "partial 16S ribosomal RNA". It matches the Rfam family "Bacterial small subunit ribosomal RNA", at positions 100 to 353 of the family's 1533-position model. The record is from RNAcentral.
GGACGGGUGAGUAAUGUCUGGGAAACUGCCUGAUGGAGGGGGAUAACUAUUGGAAACGAUAGCUAAUACCGCAUAAAAUGGAUUAUCGCAUGAUAAUCGAUUGAAAGGUGCAAAUGCAUCACUACCAGAUGGACCUGCGUUGUAUUAGCUAGUUGGUGGGGUAACGGCUCACCUAGGCGACGAUCCCUAGCUGGUCUGAGAGGAUGACCAGCCACACUGGAACUGAGACACGGUCCAGACUCCUACGGGAGGCAGCA